RNAcentral lists this long non-coding RNA (1080 nucleotides) under Gadus morhua (Atlantic cod). Its description in RNAcentral is "lncRNA (ENSGMOG00000037097.1)". Lineage: Eukaryota; Metazoa; Chordata; Actinopteri; Gadiformes; Gadidae. The record is from RNAcentral.
AAGGUAGGACUACCACCUCUAGUAGACACAAGGUACGAUUUGUUGAAUCACUAAGUGAGAGGGUUAGGGCUAAACAUUCCAACCAGAGAGGUAAGCGGGGCCUUGCCUACUCUGAGCGCAGCAGUAUACUGUUGUUGUCUACGUUGGAAACAGAGAGAGGCUCACUAACCGUCUCCCUCUAACCAGGAGCGAGAUCGUUUGGAGGAGGAGAGGAGGCGAGUGGAGGAGCUGAGGAGGAGGUGGGAGGAGAAGGAGGAGGUGGUUUCGGGUCAGCCUGAGAGUCAAAAGGAACGGCUCACUCUGCAGCAGGAGAAGGAGGCGAUGGAGGCGGCGGUUCGGGCGUUCGAGGACUGGGAGUUCAGCAUCCUGGAGAGCGAGAGCAGGUUGGAGGAGGAGGAGGAGGAAGUGGAGGAAGAGGAGGCAGAUGAGGAGGAGGAGGAUGCGGGAGGAGAUCUGUCCGUCCAGCAGCAGCAGGCGAUUAGCUAUGGACAGGAGCACGUCCAUCAUCUGGAGAGGCAGUUGAAGGAGGUGGAGCGAGAGAAGGAGAGGGAACUGAACGCCCUGAGAAGAGAGAAGAGAGACCUGCUUCACGCAACCCAGAUGAUGCUUAAAGAGAAGAAGCCGCUUGCUGAUUGGUCGAAUAUCACUGGCUCCGCCCCCUGCAUGAUAUCCCUGUCGCCCAUGGCCAACAACAAACAAACCAAGGAACCUUGUCAGGAGUUCUCCAGUUUACCACGGAGGCGACAUCCCCACGGAAACCAUCUCCAUGACAAACAUCACAAUGAGAGGCCUCUCUCAGCUCAAGGGUUUAUUCGCUCUCGUCCGGACCAAAGUCCCGGCUUCACCUCCUCAUCCCUGAGACUCACCAAGGGCAAUCGGGUCUCUCAGAGGUCCUCCUUUAGCAGCCGAAGUGUUGGCGUGCUAAACGCUAACGGCAGUAGCCGUAUAGCAAGUCAGUCCCCGGGGCUGGGCGACCUGCUGGAGAUGGAGAGGAGGCUGCAGGCUGCCAGGGCUGAGAGGGAGAGGCUGCUGAGAGAGAGGGUGAGCCUGGAGCACAGAGCCCCCCAAAACACACGCUAG